Molecule: transfer RNA, 72 nt
Filed under: Sloanea sinensis
Lineage: Eukaryota; Viridiplantae; Streptophyta; Magnoliopsida; Oxalidales; Elaeocarpaceae
Also listed under: 2 other names
Description: tRNA-Lys
Rfam family: tRNA
About the family: Transfer RNA (tRNA) molecules are approximately 80 nucleotides in length. Their secondary structure includes four short double-helical elements and three loops (D, anti-codon, and T loops).
Source: RNAcentral
GGGUUGCUAACUCAACGGUAGAGUACUCGGCUUUUAUCCGACUAGUUCCGGGUUCGAGCCCCGGGCAACCCA